CUCUGCGGAUCGCCGCAGCAUGGCGGAUAAAUUCAGCACAGAUUAACCCGUGCUGGAAAGGAAGUCGGGCACAGACACAAAAUAAAACAUCCGGCUUCUUUUCAAAAUAAAACACUCGGUGUUUCAGGAGGAUCGUAUUUCACACCAUGCAAACGGGCGGAGACGAACAAGUGAAAGGUUUUUAGACGUCAUUUCACCCCGAUGACACCAUGGAUGAGGAGAUGCUGAUUCUAGAAGUCUAGAAGUAGAUUUCCUCCUCUGGAAGGACACAAUCUACUGCUUAUAUGUCUAUGUGUCUGUCUUUAAAGAGACAACUCAUUAUCGCGCGAUUGCACGUGAAUCCACGGGUUCUUGUGAGUUCUGGUGAUUACCGCUGUCCGUAAUCAGCCACAAAAUUGGCCUCACAAACAGAUCCGGUGGGAAUCGGUGGACGGCAAAAAUCGCCACCAUUCUGGACAUGGUGGAAAUUCGGAAUUAGUAAGUUCAUGCGACAUAAACUCAAAACCUGGACAUUUGGAGGAUUUUAUAAACUCCCCCGGACAAAGCUGGACAAGAACGGACAGCCCCCCAAAACAGAGGGCAUGUCCGGGUAAAAGAAGACGUAUGGUCACCCUAGUUUGUAUGUAAAAGUAUCUCUCAGCAGAGCUUUCUAACCAGCAGCCCUUCAUAUCAGGACCAGGCUACAAUCUUGAUGACUUUUCUUCAGAACAAAAUGAGGUUGCAGUUUUCUGAGACUGACACAUAAAAUCUGCUAUCUUAGAUUUUCAUAAACUGCUGUGUGAAACCACGGGGUCGAAGCUUGAGGAACUCGGAGAGCUCGCUCUUUGACUCAAUUAUAAUUCCCUCCUCCAGAUGUCCACGGUUUUGUUCUGAUACAAUAACAUCUGUGAUGACGCCCCGGGAUGCCAGCGAGCCAAUGAGCAGGAUCCUCUCAGAGUGAGGUAUGUUAGCAGACGGCGUCGACAAAGCUUCUGCAGCUCGUCCUAUCUUCUGGGGAAUGACAGCGAGGGUACACAACAAGACAGUCAGCAGAGUUCAUUUCCGAUGCAUGCGUCCUGUGGUCUGCACAUCUGCGUCUGGCCCUCCGCAGAAUGGCCCACUUCACUGUGCAUGGCGCCAUAUGGGAGCCCUGUUUGAAGCCACUAGCAUACAACCACGCAAUUAAUUCAGAACUACGCCAGACAAUCUGCUGCGAGACGGCCCUAAUGAAACUGACGUGGAUGGAUUCGGAGAGGGUGAGGCCUUUAGGUGGGGACACACACACACACACAGACACACACAGAGACACAGACGAGCUUGCGUGCAUGCUCACAGACCGCCGGUCAUCCAGUCUGUGCAUUCUGGAAGCAUCUGCAUGACUGCCCUAAAUUUGCCUGACGUGGGCCUGAAAUUGAAUCUAAUGUAGCACUCCCCGGAGACACUGAGCAGCUCGCUGGUAAAUUAUUGAAUAAAAAAAGAGGGUUUGGACGGCGUAAUGUAACCGAAAUAAAUGAGAGGAGAACGGUAAGUCCACACAAGUGUCUGUUGACUCGUUGUUCAGCUCGUUUAUCACGAUCACAGCAUGAAGAGAGUCCGAUCAACAGAAGCUGCUGUCGGAGUUUGAGCUGGUUUAUAUUCGGGGGGAUGUUUUUGACACCACUUUGCUUUAAAAACACAAAACUACGAGGAGAUUUAAUGGCAGCUUUUACUCCUCCUGAACACAAACAUCACUUUAAAAACCCGCAUUAAUUCUCAAUCCUCCCCCAAACACUGACUUUAUGAAUAAUAACCGCUCAGCUCUGAUGUUGUACAGUGUUUUUUAACCCUCUGAACGCUGCAGAACUUCGAUAAUGUCGACUGAAAAUCCUCGUUUAGAUGUAAAUUUUUACAGUUGUGGUUCAUCGGUCUACUCUCACCGUUACUGUUAAAUACAAACUCAAGAAGCAGAGAUGUAAUACAGAUACAAGAAGAGCAGUUUUAGGAAAAGUGAAACAAAAAUUAUUUACCUACUCUUGUGGACCUGGGACUCGACAAACUCUUCUUUCUCGACUUUGCCGUCCUCUGAAGUCACCUUGUGUUUAUCCAGGUUGGGACUGAAGCAGUGAGGUGAUAUCCACGUGUCCGUGGUGUUAGGCCUGGUGAAAAUGGACUGCUGGGCUGCUAACUCACACUUUGUGGACUUUUGGAGCUGGUUUAGCACGUCUGAAAUCACAAGACAGAUGCACUUGUCACUUUGAGCCCACGUAAAACAAAAAUCCUCAUUUAGUUCAACUUUUGGCUGCAAGAACUGUCCGACUUUGGAGGUGCAGCUAAAGCUAACUUAAACAUAUUCAUAACAUAUUCCGAAUCCCUAAAAAGGGUACACAACUACGCGGGGGCAGAGUCACAGAGUUGUGUUAAGUACAUUUUCAGAGUUUUUCAGGUUGGAUCGAGUGUUUUUACGUGCUUCUAACUCAGUUAGUCCAAACGACACAAACGUAGGACUUCCAUACAAAACCCCAACAUUUGAAAGAUUUUGUUAACUCCCCCAAUAAGGCCAGGCAGGCUGGAUAGCCCCCCAAAAAAGAGGACAUGUUCGGGUAAAAGAGGACAUAUGGUAUUAUGCAACAUUUUAUACUUCCUCUUUAACUCCUCUUUAAUAUCUUUACAUCAUUUUCUUAUAAGAGAAAGCCUCCUGAUUCUCAUUGCGAUGUAUUAGAAUAUCAUUAUUCGCUUUAUUUUAGCUGCUGUCUCCUUUAGCGAGUCUCACCUUUUCAUGCACAGUCCCGGUUAGAGCAGUCUACAUCUAUUUUCUAGGAUUUUGACGUGUUAACUCCCCGAUUCGAAACUUUGCAUACGUCGAAUAUGGAAAACCAAAGAUCGUAACUUUGCAGUACCGCUCCUUUAACUGACAGCUAUCCACCACCAUCACACUGACGCUUCGACACGCUCCUGCUUCAAUCAGCCAAUAGAAAAACUGAGAUACUGAUUCAAGUGAAUCUGACAGGAAGUAGAAGUGCGCUUACAGGAAAAGGAUGAUACACAUCACUUGGUAAUCAGUGCAAAGUUGACUCGAACGUCUCAGACCGAGCUGCAGAGAUGAGUGACUCUACAAAAAAGAGUUUAAUUCUGUUUUUGCCAUUUGUGUUUAUGAACUGUGUUUUCUGACACUGACAGGGGAUCAAUUGUGACAGGCACUGCGGGUUGCUGAGGUCUGGAGAUUAAAACAAUUCAGCGUCAAUGUAGGAUCAGGAGCAUCAGUCUCCUCGACUGUGCAGACACUCUGCAGUCGCAGAGAUCUGACAGGAAUACACACCAUCGGCAGCAGCAGCAGCAGCAGCAGCAGCAGCUCUGUAUACGGUGGCAGCUACUGCACCGUGCUUUAAUUCCCAUCUCAUUUCUCAUGCACGAAUCAGACGGGCUCCAGUGCUCUCACAGCUUGUCUUCAUCUGCAGCCCUGCGUCUUUGGUUAUUCCAGCCCGCCGUCAGUCCUCGGCCCGAGCAGACCUUCAAUUAUUUAUAAAGGAUUUUUUCGUUCUUUCGGAGUUUGAAAAAGCUGCAAGAGAUGCAGAUGCAGAGGACGCGCUCGUCUUCCUGCUCUCCUGUGUUUAUUUCCCGGCCUCAUCGUUGAAUUUUGCUUCUGAGCCAUCGGCAGUGACAUUGAGAGGAAAUAGCUUCACAGCAUUAUGGAGAUAUGUUUCCAUUGUGGGAAAGAUUAAAUUAAUCUGCUGUUACUGAGUGCCUUAAUGCAUUCAGCUGGCAUAGUCCCACAACGCAACCUAAUUAUAUCAAUUGAGGGACGAGGGAAAGAGCAGAAAAGACGGAUGAAUGGUAAUUUGACAAACUUGGGUUUGAUGUGCUCCCCUUUUAUCUCAUCUGGAUGCGAUGGUGCUGCCUGAUAAGGAAGGUCAGCCUGGUGUGUUAUCUUUAUUAAAAGUUGGUUCAAAGGAUGCUUGUAAUAAUGAGCCACUCAAUUCAGCGGAUUACAAUCUCUUUGAUCGAAGGUUAAAUACUGAACAUAUGUGCGGGCCCCUUGCAUGUGUUCCCACCAGCUGUGCUGCUAUCGUACAUCAUACAUACUCCAUAUCGGACAUGCCUCGCUAAUUCACUGCUAAGACCCUCUGUUUCCCUGUGGGGCACAGAUCUACCCCUCACACUAACACCGGGCCCCCCUACAGAGGGUCCGAUGAGAUGACAAACAUCUGUAUAGGGACAUGAGGUAUGGCAGCUACUCUUAGCUGCAGUCAAACUGAAUAACUCUGUUUUGGGAUUUAGUGUGGACAUCUGGUAGACGCCGUGAAAUUACAUCUUUCAGGACCCGCCGGGGUUGAGUUAUGUCAGCCAGCAGCAGCAGCAGCAGCAGCAGCAGGUCAGAGUUGAGGCCAGGUAACAGCUGGCUGGAGCGAAGGGUUGGAGGGUGGAUGAAGGUUGGGACUGGGGAUGUUUCAGACACGGUCACUGAAGCACUUAAGUUUAAAUAAGCUUCAGAGCAGAUUACUUCUCAAAGGUGUCACUGUCACGUUUCCUGACAGGACCGCACAGGAGCUGACACUGCCUUCAGUUCGCAUACGCGGUGGUUCUCCUGCUUCCUCUUGCAGACCAAAGACAAGCUUGUCAGGUUCACUGGUCCCUCAUUUGGCUACGGUGUGAGGUUGGCUCGAAUGAGCAUGAAUGAGAUGAGAUGAGAUGACUGAUAAUUCAGGGAUGAUUUCUGCUGUGAAAACAGACUCCUGAGAGUUGAGCUGUAGUCCUGACAAUGUCAUUGUCUGAGUUGAGACAUCUCUGACGAAAUGUGCCGUAAUAAAAUCAAACAUGCAUAAUGAGGGUGUGUUCAGUCCUGUCAAAAGCAAAAACUGUAAAUAUCAGCGACAUUAACAGUGUCAACAACUCAUCCUUGGGUCCAAAAUGGGUUAGGGUCAGUCCCCCCGCUGUCAUUAUGUCCUGAUGCUACUUGGACACUGACUUGCUGCUAGCUAGCUAGGUAUAUCACCAUGAAUGUUAGGGCUGCUGCAAUAUUAGUCUCUUUUCUUUUCAUUUGCCACUUUAUGAUUGCACAAAUGGGUUAGGGUUCGGGUGUUAGGGUUAAACCGAAAACAUACAGGAUCAGUAUUGAGCGCGUUCUGUAUUUGCCCCAUAGAGCAGCAUUGGGUAUCUCAUACAGGAUCAGCUUAUUUGGAGCGUAGCAGCAGUGCAGGAUAUAAUUUGGAUAUAAUUCAGUGACUGUUGAGCCUCUACUGUAUGUGAAAAAGCUUUAAGAGAUUUUACAGUUUGUGUUUUUACAGGUUUCCUGGUGUUUAAUAAAGUAAACUCUGUUCCUUUAUGCUGUUUCCUUCAGACAGAGUUAGCAGGUCAAAGUCCUGUUGGGGUCCACAUGGAUCAGGGAUCGACCAUCGGAUUGUUCUGUGUUACUGAUAAAUCAAGAACGUAUUUCUCAUCGACACGAACUGAUACACAGUAGGGAGUUUGCAUAUGGUGUUUUAUUUUGAAAUACCCGAUGACAUUAGCAGUUUUCAUGCUUGACUUCCUGUCUCGAUCUGUCUCUUGAUCUUCUCUGUGUGGAUUGAUGCGUGUUGUAAGCAUAGAGCAGCAAAAAUAAACUUGUAGUGUAUCUUUAGCAGAGCUGCUCUCAAUACAGAGCUGAUAUGCGUUCUGUAUGCUUUGCUGCAUUGAUUAGAAUGGAAACCUAUUUGCUGCUGCCAUGCUCCAAAUACGCAUCCUGUAUGUUGUCGCCUUUAGCGUUAGGGUUGGGGUUCGUUUUCCUCCUCUUUCAGCGUCUAUGAGAACCACUCAUUUUUGCCUUCCUGCCAUGUUUGUUUGGUAAGUAUGCGGCUUCCUGUUUAGCGCCGGUCAUAGCGUAGCUUUCAUUUUUUUUUGAUAAUUUAAGGAUGAGACUCUAGACCUGUGAUUUCACUAAACAUGUUUGAACAUUAAAUAAAAAACGUCUGAAUUGAGUUUAAAGACUUUCUUUAACUGCGAUCACAUCCAAGUCCUCAAAUUUACAGUCUGAUCCUGAUGAAAUAUUCCUAACUAACACGAACAUACCUGCAUAAUGAGGGUCAUAAUAAACACAGGCUGUCAUAUACAGUGUUGAAGGAUGGACCGUUUCCUAUAAAGUGACACCGGCCUGUCUUUUGAUCAUAAAUCUAACCUGGUUAUGUGCUUUUUUAAGUGCAAUGCAUCCCACACAGUGCCGGUAUUUUUAUGCCCGUGCAUGCUGCAGCUUUAAUAUCUCAGAGGAUAAUUUAAGAUUAUUAAAAAGUUCAGGAUAGUUUUGAAAAGUUCUGGUCAACAUUUUUAUCACUAACAUAAAUUUUGUGCAGAACAGAGUUUUCUUCAGGGGAUAAGGCGAAUAAAAUGUUGCACCGGCCAAUAAACCUUUCCUAAAACCUUUUCCUGGGAUUAUUUCGCAGUCUAACAACAAAAUUACUCGUAUUGUCCACCUCAGGGGAGAGAGUGGAUGCUGCAGAUAGAGGGACAGAAACAAGCUGUCUGUGAUUGGACGUCAGCGGCGGGAUGGCUUUCAGUCCAAACGACUUCUGAAAAAUACCCAGUGGAAAGAAACGCUAAAUAGAUCUGUCGAGGGGCAGGAAGAGUUGGAAUUUGAUGUCACCCCUGUGCCACUGCGUUUACCCGACACAAUUAAGAGCUCUUCCCGUCAGUGUUGCACUCUCUAACUUAAUCCAUCUGUGUCACCAUCCAGGUCCCCAUGCAGGACCUAAUCUAGGCUAAAUGCAUCUAUAAUCCAAUUAAUCUGUCAUAGCACAGGCCCACUGACGAUAUUUUUACUUUCUGCUGACACAUCCCAUUUCCCUCCUGGCAAAAUAAUGAGGCGGGAUAACUUAAUUUGGAUAACAGAGAGCUGUAAUGAAAGACAGUUAACACAGCGAAGGCCCAGACAAAGCCGCGCAUGGAAAGUGCAAAGGGUGUGAGUCUAUGUCUUUAUAAUGAGAUUUAUUCUCUGGCUCCAAACUUCUGUUGACUUUCUGUCAUCUUCACGAUGAGAACGGAUCGCUCACACCUCCAACAUCACCGCGCACAAUAGUACAGAUGUGACCUAACGCUGGUAAUCUCAUUAACGUCACUUCAGCCGAAAGGGAAGGUCGUUUGAAAUCGUUUAUGAAUCUGAGAGGAGUUUCUAUGUUUUAACUCGAGUUUUACUCCUACAGGUCCCAAAUGACACCACACAAACAUCCAAUAUGUUUCUAUUUCAAACUAGAGUAUAGAUACGAUCUCCCCGGAGAUGUUCAAACCUAAAAUAAUACUCACUUUAAUGUCAACAGACUCCAGUAAGAAAAAGCAGUAAUUGUACCUCAUUAGCUUGGGUUUACCGCUGCAAUGAUCGGCCCGUUUGUUUGUAUUGUUUUACUCCUUAACUCCAAACCAACACGACUCAAUUACAAACAAACUAGCCGGUGGUAGACCACCAAAUCCCACACCAGAAACUUUGAACUGAGCCGUGUAGCUAACAACUAACGACUGCCUGAGGUUCGAAAAAGGAAAGCUUUUGGUGAACAAAGUUUGUUUGGGUGGAUUUUACACAAAAAUAAACACUUCACAGCGUUUACAGUGUGUUUGCGGCUGCAGGCUGCAGCAGUCCGCCGGCACAACAUCAAAACUUUCUGUACUCAUUAGAUCUCAAAAUAUGUACAACCCCGAGUCCAGAAACACAAAAAUCAUCUUAACUCUAUAUUCAAACUUAAAUAACGCAAAAACAUCCUCUCACUUUUGACAAGUUUGGAAAGUUAAAUAGUCUUCAGACAGAGGAUUUCUCGAUGUCAAAGGCUACAGUAGGGACCAUAAGCAGGACUCUUCUACUACUGAGCCGUUCUGUUGUAAUCCUACAGGAUGUGGUUUGUCGUUGUCUCACAGGUCUUCCUGAUAAACUUUUUCUGGAUAGCAGCAUCAUUUUCAUAUCCAUAUUUAAAGGGAUAUUCCGGCGUAAAAUUAAUUUAGGGUCAAACACACAGUAACACAGAGUUAGACACCCCCGAGAGAGAUGAAUGUUGCCGACCGCUUGCUUCUCUAGUUAUACCAACUUUAGUAACGACCGCAGGAUAGAAAUACACAGCGUUCUGAGGAGCCAUAAACGAACCUCAACCAAAACGCCACAAAUAAUGCUCAGAACAGCACCUAACUUCAUCAACAGGACAUAUAGGGUCACAGACAUAGUACUAGACACCAAAAACCUUUUUAACUGCUCUUCCAGCAGCUACUUGUUUGUAGCGAGACCUCAGGCCAGUCCAUUACGGACUACAGCGGGGUGCCGCAGCUCAAGGAAGAACAUUUACGAUCAUUUCCUCAUGGAAAUACAAUCAGACCAAGACGCUAAGGCAGAAGAACUACAGCGUCUGUAAAAUGAUUAAUAUGGUGAUUAUUACUUCAAGGAAAUGAUAAAGAAAUUAUUGUUUGUAAAGUUUCUGUACCAUGGGAACGUCCAUUCAACCCAGUACAAUCAGAUAUGGUACUGGAUAACUGCUGGUAAUUUUGAUAUUGCAGGACACUUGCACAUGCACUCCUCUAAACUUGCAAUCAUUGAAAAUGUUUGUUUUAAGUCAUUUUUGAGCUCAUGCGGUGACUUCCACUACAGAGUCACAUCUGUUAUAUAGGGGUAUUGACUGGGGGCCCAAAUAACAUGCAAACCAUCAAAACCUGUUCCUCCACAGCGUCCAAACAGUUUGGAAGUCCGGGUUGUAAAUGCCGGGCGGAGUCUAAAGCUAUGAGGAUUACUCUGUGACUCUCAUCAGUGCACACUGUAGCUGAUAAUGGCGAGGUGCUGACUAACUCUUCUAAUGAGCUGCACUCCAUGAAAGACAAAAAUAAGACACAUUAAUAAUCCAGGCAGGGAGCCCUGCAACCGCUGAACCACAAAACACAACGCCGUGUCAUUGGAGAGUCGUCUUUCUCUGUUAAUUGUCAUUGAUUUAUUCCAAAAUAGUCUGCAGCAGGACAAAGUCUUGUCAUCUGGGUGAUAAUUAUAAGAUGUAACCUUGUACCUGCUGAGGGAGGAGACAGGCAUAAGCACCGGAUGACAUCUGAUGGGUGUUUCAGAUCAGCUCUACUUCUUUCAGUAAGCUUUUACUGUCUGACAUUUCUUUCUUGGCAGGAGCUGUUGGAUGAAAUGACAAAACUCCCUCUGCUCCACCAUCCUGAGGGAGCAGGGGGUUCAAUUUAUACACUGUCUGUUGUAAAAGCAAACUCAGGGCGGCUGAAGCCAAACUAUCACAGAGCCAAAAAGGCAGUAUUAAAAAAUCACUGCUUUUCAUAAUCUAAAAACUGAUUUUAAGAAGAACUAUGGAUAGGUCCAGUUCCAUCAACUGGGACAAGAACUGUGUGCAUGUAAAUCCAAACUGGAGCCCCAAACUUUCCCACACAAGAAUCAAGAGUAUUGUCUGUUUUCAGACAGGUAAUAUUCUGUCCUUCACAUUGCUGUGCUUUCAAAAAACGAUCAUUUGAAAAUGGUCCAUUUACCGCAAGAGCUGUUGAACGAAGAAGUGGGAACAAAUCACUGAAAUAGCAGCAAAGAAUGGCUGAUUAUCACACCUGCCUAUCAGCGGCUAUAGCACAUGCAUUUUGCAAGAACACUGGGAUUGAACAUUGCCAGCACGCCCUCUCUUCAACCUAUUCCUAUUUCCCGGGAAAUGUCAGUGCUUUUGAUAAUAAGGCGCUUCGCUUUGAAAAGUCAAAUGCCAGAGUGGGGCCUUUAUUGAACUCUCAGAGGUGGGUAUAAUCUACCUACGUCUGCAUGAGUUUUUUACAGAAAUGACACAAAUUAAAGUCUUUAUUGAGCAGACGCUGGAAUCCUAGAAUAUAACUGCCUAUCAGUUUUAAAGCUUGACAUUUGAAAUGUUCAGAUGCAGCAUUAAUGAUCCACUGGAUGGUAUUUACUCUGACUGAUGGUAUCAAAAUAGCUAAUCUGAAGAAACCCAGUUGUGCUUACCAGUGCAUGUACUGUUUCCAGGUUCUCUCAGACUGCAGUCGGUUAAAUGAACAAAAUGGGGACGAUAAAGAAGAUGGAUAAUUAGCUCCCCGGUUACAAAAAUUCUGCAAUAGCAACCAUUACAGCCACGCUGGGUUUGUUAGAUGGCCAUCGGAGGGUUCGAAGCGUGCUCGGUGCAGACCAGGAUGCAUUUGUCUGCUAAAUUAAAAUCACUGUAGUGGGUCUGGUUGUUCGGUUCAUACUGCAGAGAGACGGAGGGAUAGAGGGUGACCUACUCCACUGGACUGAGGUUUUUUCUCAGGUCUGCAUGUUGAAGUAGUUUGGUGGGUGAAGGAGUUAGCGUUCAGCAGCAGCAACAUCUGUGAGCAUGUAAACAAGCGUUCCUGUGAGUUUACAUCCUGUUUCAGCAAAGUGCAAACUAAUUAUCAAUAAAACAUGCUGCGAUGCAACGUGAGCGCGUGAUAUACAAAAUAAUGACGCAGGGUACAGCCAGUAACCUUCAGUUUGAUGAGUGUCAAACCUCCAUGAAUAAUAAAGUCAGAUAUGAAUGAACAAAAAGACAGACGCAUGUAUAGAAAAUUAAUCAACAAAUAGUCAGGACAACCUGAUCACAUGUUUUUUUUCUGUAUUUCUAUAUAAAAAGUCCCUUAUUUAAACCACAUCCACCUGACAAGUCCAGAAAAAAAAAUAUUAUUACAAGAUAUUAGUUGCAAAAAUAAAGUAAAAUAUAUAUAUAAAAUAUAAUAUAAAAUAAUCAAAUAAUGACUUUUGUCUUUUUUAAAUAAAAUAUUUCACUUCAAAAUCUUAACAAUUCACUUUUUCUCUUAUACCAUCAGUUUUUUAAUAUUUUUUUUACUCCUUAAAGCUAUUUAAUUACAGAGUAUUUAGGCGAAAUUGGAAAAACAAUUUAUAAUAGCAAUAAAGUCACAAGAAAAUAAGAUUUUAAGUUGCAAAAAGUCAUAAUCUUACAUUUAAUUCAGUCAUUAUAUUCAGAGAAUAAAAUCAUGAAAUUUAAGACUUGGUUUUAUGGUAACAAAGUCUCUGUAAAGUCAUAAUCUAGUAAAGUUGUAGUAAAUUAAUAAAGGUGGAAACGUUAAGUCAUAUCAUAAGGAUAAAAUAAAGUCUAUUUUAUUAGAAUGAAGUCAUGAAAAAGUCGUAGUUUUUGUAGCAGCUAACUUUCUGUACCAGGAUUCUCUUGUUGAAGCUAACUUUAGUCCAGGAUUUAGGAUUUUGUUUUAUUCUUGACUUUAUUCUAACAUCAUGACUUGAGUUUGACCUUCAUACUCUGUUGAACUAUUCAACUCUCAUUUUUCCUGUUUGUAAUAUUUUGUAUUUAGAAACUUUUCUGGACUUGUCAUGUGAAGCGGUCCUGAUAAUAGCAACAACUUUUAGACUUUAUCUUAUUUCUACUUUAUUUUAAGACAAAUCAGAAACUGAACUAUAUGAGCCAAACCAGAGCCAUCCUGCUCACCCUGUCAGGAUUCUGAUCUGCAUCAUCACCCCUUCACAACACGUUUUCUCAUUCAUUCACCAUCAGCCUGAAGUCGUUACAAAGGUAAACUCAUCCUCCUCCUCCUCCUCCUACCAGAAAAUAGCUCCAACAUGGCGGCGGCGGCGGCGGUCCUCCUCUUCAUUAUUUCAUUACACUCUGUUGUGUUAAAUGUCACAAUAUCCAUUUCAGCUGACAGAGAGAGAGAUGUGCCUGUUAGCUGAAACCACCUCUCUUCAGAUUUAUGCUCUACCCCCCCACACACACUCACACUCACACACUCUUAACGUGCUAAUGAUUUUCAGACCUUCCUCUUUAAUUCACCCAGCAGCUGUACUCGCAGCUGUAUGCCCGCAGAGACAGCCAAUCACAAUCCAGACUGCUGCAUUUUUCCGUCACUCUCUGCCUCUCUUCUCUCAUCUUUCGCUCUAUUUUUCUUCUUUAUGUGCUCAGGAUCGAGCUGACAUUCUUUCCUGUCACUCUGUUCUCUGUUCAGACUCCUCCGUUUGUUCAUCCGUCUGUUUUUGGAAAAACUUUUGACAGAAAUGAAUCAGGUAUUUUUUCUUCUUCUCCUUUUUUUUACACAGUAUCCUCAUGGGAUUCGUUUAAUUUGCUGCUAAAGCUGCUCAUUACAGCAUGAAAUAUGUAUUUUUUGCUGUUUAGGCAAACAGCACUCAGACUAAUUUUGUCUAUGGUAGCUUUAUUAUGGAGUCAUCAUUUCUACAGAGGAGAUUGUUUCAAUAAAACAUGAGACUCCUAUAAAAAAACCAACAGUCACUGAGUGCAAAACAAAUGUGCACACGGAAACAUAUUUCCCUUUUUGGUUCAUGUCAGUCUGCACACGACAAACAAUUAUAAUUGCAUUAGGAGUUUGCAGUAUAUAUUCCAUGCUCACAACAGGAAGCCUUCUUUGUGUCUGUCAGCACAAACCAAAAGAUGGUGGCGAGCUCUGCAGCCCGGGCGGCGAGAUCAGACCGAGAAACCAAAAGUCAGUGUUGACGUAUUUUUGUAGCUCAGACCAAGAUCAAAAAACAAACUCAGAACUUUUUUAGAUUUAUUGGCUCGAGCCACAACAACUCACUGGAGGAUUUAGAGUUGGAAAAUGUGCAUUUGACAAAUAAGCAGAGAUGUUAUUAGUGAAUGAAUGAACCCAAACCUCACUACUAUCAACGAAGGCUGGGCUACAUUAUUGGACAAGUAACAGAUAUUAGAGAGAGCUGCACGUCUGCAUAAAAAACUGCACAUUGCUGAACACGAGGAAAGUCUAAACUACAGUUAUGGUUGGGAGAUUCCACCGACUUCUUUCCAGCCCCCUGCAGAUCAGUGGGCUUUGUAGCCGAAUGCCAGAGUUCUAUUUUUUCCGGACGCUGCAGCAUGCCGGAUAAAUUCAGCACAGAUUAACCCGUGCUGGAAAGGAAGUCGGGCACAGACACAAAAUAAAACAUCCGGCUUCUUUUCAAAAUAAAAUACUGUGUUUCAGGAGGAUCAUAUUUCACACCAUGCAAACGGGCGGAGACGAACAAGUCAAAGGUUUUUAGACGUCACUUCACCCCGAUGACACCAUGGAUGAGGAGAUGCUGAUUCUAGAAGUCUAGAAGUAGAUUUCCUCCU
This is a non-coding RNA of Xyrichtys novacula (pearly razorfish), 12995 nucleotides long. The record is from the annotation of a GenBank genome assembly. Lineage: Eukaryota; Metazoa; Chordata; Actinopteri; Labriformes; Labridae.